UAGGGAAUCUUCCGCAAUGGACGCAAGUCUGACGGAGCAACGCCGCGUGAGUGAAGAAGGAUUUCGGUUCGUAAAACUCUGUUGUUAGAGAAGAACAGCGCGUAGAGUAACUGUUAUGCGUGUGACGGUAUCUAACCAGAAAGCCACGGCUAACUACGUGCCAGCAGCCGCGGUAAUACGUAGGUGGCAAGCGUUGUCCGGAUUUAUUGGGCGUAAAGCGAGCGCAGGCGGUCAAUUAAGUCUGAUGUGAAAGCCCCCGGCUCAACCGGGGAGGGUCAUUGGAAACUGGUUGACUUGAGUGCAGAAGAGGAGGGUGGAAUUCCAUGUGUAGCGGUGAAAUGCGUAGAUAUAUGGAGGAACACCAGUGGCGAAGGCGACUCUCUGGUCUGUAACUGACGCUGAGGCUCGAAAGCGUGGGUAGCAAACAGG
This 429-nucleotide ribosomal RNA is filed under the name Bacteroidota bacterium. RNAcentral describes it as "Bacteroidetes bacterium partial 16S ribosomal RNA". It matches the Rfam family "Bacterial small subunit ribosomal RNA", at positions 355 to 776 of the family's 1533-position model. Lineage: Bacteria; Pseudomonadati; Bacteroidota. The record is from RNAcentral.